UCCGUAGGCGGGUUUAUAAGUCAGUGGUGAAAGUUUGCGGCUCAACCGUAAAAUUGCCAUUGAUACUGUAGACCUUGAAUUAGUGUGAAGUGGUUAGAAUGUGUAGUGUAGCGGUGAAAUGCAUAGAUAUUACACAGAAUACCAAUUGCGAAGGCAGAUCACUAACACUAUAUUGACGCUGAGGGACGAAAGCGUGGGGAGCGAACAGGAUUAGAAACCCUGGUAGUCC
Molecule: ribosomal RNA, 229 nt
Filed under: uncultured bacterium
Lineage: Bacteria
Description: partial 16S ribosomal RNA
Rfam family: Bacterial small subunit ribosomal RNA
Source: RNAcentral